RNAcentral lists this ribosomal RNA (1751 nucleotides) under human gut metagenome. RNAcentral describes it as "bacterial LSU rRNA". It matches the Rfam family "Bacterial large subunit ribosomal RNA", at positions 1 to 2305 of the family's 2925-position model. The record is from RNAcentral.
GAGUUCAGACGUGUGCUCUUCCGAUCUUACAAGCUGUAGGAGCAUAUUAUUUGUGUGACUGCGUACUUUUUGUAGAACGGGCCAACGAGUUACGUUACCUAGCAAGGUUAAGCACUUAAGGUGUGGAGCCGUAGCGAAAGCGAGUCUUAAAUGGGCGUCCAGUUACCCGACGUAGACCCGAAACCAGGCGACCUAUCCAUGAGCAGGUUGAAGCGAAAGUAAAAUUUCGUGGAGGACCGAACCCACGAGCGUUGAAAAGCUCGGGGAUGACCUGUGGAUAGCGGUGAAAUUCCAAUCGAGCCCGGAGAUAGCUGGUUCUCUCCGAAAUAGCUUUAGGGCUAGCCUCAAGAUUUAGAGAAACGGGGGUAGAGCACUGAAUGUCCUAGGGGGUAUUGCACUUACCGAAGACUAUCAAACUCCGAAUGCCGUAUUCUUUUGCUUGGGAGUCAGACUAUGGGUGAUAAGAUUCAUAGUCAAGAGGGCAACAGCCCAGAUCGUCAGCUAAGGUCCCUAAAUGUAAGUUAAGUGGUAAAGGAUGUGGAAUUGCACAGACAACCAGGAUGUUGGCUUAGAAGCAGCCACUCAUUUAAAGAGUGCGUAAUAGCUCACUGGUCGAGUGAUCCUGCGCCGAAAAUUUCCGGGGCUAAAACUUACUACCGAAGCUACGGCAUCAUUUAUGAUGGGUAGGAGAGCUUUCUAUACGGAUUGAAGCAUUACCGUAAGGAGAUGUGGACUGUAUAGAAGUGAGAAUGUUGGCAUGAGUAGCGAGAUGUGGGUGAGAAUCCCACAGGCCGUAAACCCAAGGUUUCCAGGGGAAGGUUCGUCCGCCCUGGGUUAGUCAGGACCUAAGCCGAGGCCGAAAGGCGUAGGUGAUGGACAACAGGUUGAUAUUCCUGUACCACCAAUAACCGUUUGAGAAAUGGGAUGACACAGUAGGAUAAGCUAACCGCACUGUUGGUUAUGUGCGGGCAAGUAUUGAGGCAGUUCCGAUAGGCAAAUCCGUCGGAAUAAUGCUGGGGUACGAUGCGGAGCGAAAUUUAGUAGCGAAGUAGCUGAUUUCACACUGUCGAGAAAAGUCUCUAUCGAGGUUAAAGGUGCCUGUACCGCAAACCGACACAGGUGGGUGAGGAGAGUAUCCUAAGGCCAGCCAGAGAACUGUUGUUAAGGAACUCGGCAAAAUGACCCCGUAACUUCGGGAGAAGGGGUGCCUUCGAAAGAAGGCCGCAGAGAAUAGGCCCAAGCGACUGUUUACCAAAAACAUAGGUUUCUGCUAAGUCGCAAGACGAUGUAUAGGAGCUGACGCCUGCCCGGUGCUGGAAGGUUAAGGGGAUCUGUUAGGGUAACCGAAGCAGUGAACUUAAGCCCCAGUAAACGGCGGCCGUAACUAUAACGGUCCUAAGGUAGCGAAAUUCCUUGUCGGGUAAGUUCCGACCCGCACGAAAGGCGUAACGAUUUGGGCACUGUCUCAACAACAGACUCGGUGAAAUUGUAAUACCGGUGAAGAUGCCGGUUACCUGCGACAGGACGGAAAGACCCCAUGGAGCUUUACUGUAGCUUGACAUUGAGUCUCGGUGCUACAUGUACAGGAUAGGUGGGAGACUAUGAAGCAUGGACGUCAGUCUGUGUGGAGUCAUCCUUGGGAUACCACCCUUGUAGUACUGGGAUUCUAACCAGAGGCCAUGAAUCUGGUCUUGGGACACUGUCAGGUGGACAGUUUGACUGGGGCGGUCGCCUCCCAAAAUGUAACGGAG